CGGAGUGUAGCGCAGCCCGGUAGCGCACCUGCUUCGGGAGCAGGGGGUCGGAGGUUCGAAUCCUCUCACUCCGACCA
RNAcentral lists this transfer RNA (77 nucleotides) under Roseicitreum antarcticum. RNAcentral describes it as "tRNA_Pro_CGG". It matches the Rfam family "tRNA". From Rfam's summary of the family: Transfer RNA (tRNA) molecules are approximately 80 nucleotides in length. Their secondary structure includes four short double-helical elements and three loops (D, anti-codon, and T loops). RNAcentral also lists the same sequence under 2 other names. Lineage: Bacteria; Pseudomonadati; Pseudomonadota; Alphaproteobacteria; Rhodobacterales; Paracoccaceae. The record is from RNAcentral.